UACGAAGGGGGCUAGCGUUGCUCGGAAUCACUGGGCGUAAAGCGCACGUAGGCGGAUUGUUAAGUCAGGGGUGAAAUCCUGGAGCUCAACUCCAGAACUGCCUUUGAUACUGGCGAUCUUGAGUCCGGGAGAGGUGAGUGGAACUGCGAGUGUAGAGGUGAAAUUCGUAGAUAUUCGGAAGAACACCAGUGGCGAAGGCGACUCACUGGACACAUAUUGACGCUGAGGUGCGAAAGCGUGGGGAGCAAACAGG
Molecule: ribosomal RNA, 253 nt
Filed under: uncultured bacterium
Lineage: Bacteria
Description: partial 16S ribosomal RNA
Rfam family: Bacterial small subunit ribosomal RNA
Source: RNAcentral